RNAcentral lists this transfer RNA (57 nucleotides) under Ovis aries (sheep). It matches the Rfam family "tRNA", at positions 8 to 63 of the family's 71-position model. From Rfam's summary of the family: Transfer RNA (tRNA) molecules are approximately 80 nucleotides in length. Their secondary structure includes four short double-helical elements and three loops (D, anti-codon, and T loops). Further hydrogen bonds mediate the characteristic L-shaped molecular structure. tRNAs have two regions of fundamental functional importance: the anti-codon, which is responsible for specific mRNA codon recognition, and the 3' end, to which the tRNAs corresponding amino acid is attached (by aminoacyl-tRNA synthetases). tRNAs cope with the degeneracy of the genetic code in two manners: having more than one tRNA (with a specific anti-codon) for a particular amino acid; and 'wobble' base-pairing, i.e. permitting non-standard base-pairing at the 3rd anti-codon position. Lineage: Eukaryota; Metazoa; Chordata; Mammalia; Artiodactyla; Bovidae. The record is from Rfam by way of RNAcentral.
UGGCUCAGAUGGCAAAGCAUCUGCCUGCAAUGCGGGAGACCCAGGUUCUAUUCCUGG